UUUUUAACAGACUUUAUUUUAUGAAUAGCUCUAUUUGUUGUAUUUUAUGGUUACGUAUUGUUCGUGAAUAAACUGCUUUUACAAUU
This is a long non-coding RNA of Maniola jurtina (meadow brown), 86 nucleotides long. RefSeq lists it as uncharacterized. The record is from RefSeq and is a predicted model, not a curated record. Lineage: Eukaryota; Metazoa; Arthropoda; Insecta; Lepidoptera; Nymphalidae. The transcript is spliced from 3 exons.